Molecule: ribosomal RNA, 253 nt
Filed under: uncultured bacterium
Lineage: Bacteria
Description: partial 16S ribosomal RNA
Rfam family: Bacterial small subunit ribosomal RNA
Source: RNAcentral
UACAGAGGUGGCAAGCGUUGUUCGGAAUUACUGGGCGUAAAGGGCGCGUAGGUGGCCUUCUUAGUCAGACGUGAAAUCCCCAGGCUUAACCUGGGAACUGCGUCUGAUACUGUGCGACUAGAGUGCGGAAGGGGCAACUGGAAUUCUCGGUGUAGCGGUGAAAUGCGUAGAUAUCGAGAGGAACACCUGCGGCGAAGGCGGGUUGCUGGGCCGACACUGACGCUGAUGCGCGAAAGCCAGGGGAGCGAACGGG